RNAcentral lists this ribosomal RNA (396 nucleotides) under uncultured bacterium. RNAcentral describes it as "partial 16S ribosomal RNA". It matches the Rfam family "Bacterial small subunit ribosomal RNA", at positions 523 to 918 of the family's 1533-position model. The record is from RNAcentral.
AUACGUAGGUGGCAAGCGUUGUCCGGAAUUACUGGGUGUAAAGGGAGCGCAGGCGGGGGAGCAAGUCAGCUGUGAAAUGCAUGGGCUUAACCGAUGAACUGCAGUUGAAACUGUUCUUCUUGAGUGAAGUAGAGGUUGGCGGAAUUCCGAGUGUAGCGGUGAAAUGCGUAGAUAUUCGGAGGAACACCGGUGGCGAAGGCGGCCAACUGGGCUUUUACUGACGCUGAGGCUCGAAAGUGUGGGGAGCAAACAGGAUUAGAUACCCUGGUAGUCCACACUGUAAACGAUGAUUGCUAGGUGUGGGGGGUCUGACCCCUUCUGUGCCGCAGCUAACGCAAUAAGCAAUCCACCUGGGGAGUACGGCCGCAAGGCUGAAACUCAAAUGAAUUGACGGGG